UACGUAGGGUGCGAGCGUUAAUCGGAAUUACUGGGCGUAAAGUGUGCGCAGGCGGCCGCGCAAGUCGAGUGUGAAAGCCCCGAGCUUAACCUGGGAAUGGCAUUUGGGACUGCAAGGCUGGAGUGCGGCAGAGGAGACUGGAAUUCCUGGUGUAGCAGUGAAAUGCGUAGAUAUCAGGAGGAACACCGAUGGCGAAGGCAGGUCUCUGGGCUGACACUGACGCUCAUGCACGAAAGCGUGGGGAGCAAACAGG
RNAcentral lists this ribosomal RNA (253 nucleotides) under uncultured bacterium. RNAcentral describes it as "partial 16S ribosomal RNA". It matches the Rfam family "Bacterial small subunit ribosomal RNA", at positions 524 to 776 of the family's 1533-position model. The record is from RNAcentral.